CUGAGAGAGUCAGUGUCGGCCUCCACAGGACCAACGUUGCACUGAAGCUGCAAUAACCAUUAGAGGAAAUGAAGCAAAGGAAACUCCACAGCUGACGGCACACAUCUGAAUGCAGGAUGUUGCAUGUUCAACUAUUCCAUAGUUGCAACAUCUGUUCUCAAAAAGAUCUUUCGUACGGACGGCGUGCUGCACGCCGCCAUGGAUUUCGGCAGGCUGACGGGGAAGCACGGCGUGAGGAUCGCGCUGAGCCCCUCGUACUCGGUGGAGGACUGCAGUCUGGCCGUGGGGAAGCUGGUGGGCCACCGCAGCGUGAAGUCCGCAGCGCGCAUGAACAACGCGGUGGUCAUCUUCCUCGACAGCGUGGAGAAGUCGGACGCGGUGGUGGUCAGCGGGAUUGCCGUGCACGGCGCGCUCGUGCCCGUUCUGCCUCUCCCCACGCCGGCGGUGAGAGUGACGGUGUCGAACGUCCCCCCGUUCAUCGGGGACGAGGCUCUGGUCAAGGAGCUGUCAAAGUAUGGGAAGGUGUUGUCUCCCGUAAAGAAGGUCUCUUCGGGGUGCAAGUCCCCGCUGCUGAGACACGUGGUGUCACACAAAAGGCAACUCCUCAUGGUCCUCAAGACAGGACCAAGGAGCUCAACCUGAUGUUUGGAGUCGAAGUGGAGGACUUUGUGCAUGUGGUGUUUGCCACUUCUGACAAUAUGAACUGUUUCAGGUGUGGCAGAAAAGGACAUCUCGCCAGAACAUGUCCGGGAAAGGACUCUGCCGAGAGUGCAGAAGAACGAGGUGUGGAGGAUCGGGACGGUCAGGGAAGACAGGAGAAGACAGGUGGGGUACAACAGGAGGGAAAGGAGGGACGGGAAGAGUCAGGUGGGAUCAAGCAGGCGGCUGAGAACGGACAGCAGGGGACUGGUGGGGUCCAGCAGGGUGGGGAGGCGAGUGAUGGGGGCCAGGAAGGGACAAGUGGAGGACAAAAGGUAGGGUGAAUGUGUGGGGAGCGGACAAGUGAAGUCCAGCGGGAGAGUGAGGUGUGUGAGAGGGGAGAAGAUGGGGGGCGUGGUGGAGUCCAGCCGGCCCGCCAGGGGGGCAACAG
Molecule: long non-coding RNA, 1090 nt
Organism: Gasterosteus aculeatus aculeatus (three-spined stickleback)
Lineage: Eukaryota; Metazoa; Chordata; Actinopteri; Perciformes; Gasterosteidae
Source: Ensembl